AGAGUUUGAUCCUGGCUCAGGACGAACGCUGGCGGCGUGCCUAAUACAUGCAAGUCGAGCGGAUCGGAUUGGGGCUUGCCUUGAUUCGGUCAGCGGCGGACGGGUGAGUAACACGUGGGCAACCUGCCCGCAAGACCGGGAUAACUCCGGGAAACCGGAGCUAAUACCGGAUAACACCGAAGACCGCAUGGUCUUCGGUUGAAAGGCGGCCUUUGGGCUGUCACUUGCGGAUGGGCCCGCGGCGCAUUAGCUAGUUGGUGAGGCAACGGCUCACCAAGGCGACGAUGCGUAGCCGGCCUGAGAGGGUGACCGGCCACACUGGGACUGAGACACGGCCCAGACUCCUACGGGAGGCAGCAGUAGGGAAUCUUCCGCAAUGGGCGAAAGCCUGACGGAGCGACGCCGCGUGAGCGAAGAAGGCCUUCGGGUCGUAAAGCUCUGUUGUGAGGGACGAAGGAGCGCCGUUCGAAGAGGGCGGCGCGGUGACGGUACCUCACGAGAAAGCCCCGGCUAACUACGUGCCAGCAGCCGCGGU
RNAcentral lists this ribosomal RNA (535 nucleotides) under uncultured bacterium. RNAcentral describes it as "bacterial SSU rRNA". It matches the Rfam family "Bacterial small subunit ribosomal RNA", at positions 8 to 521 of the family's 1533-position model. The record is from RNAcentral.